This is a long non-coding RNA of Zonotrichia albicollis (white-throated sparrow), 3402 nucleotides long. The record is from Ensembl. NCBI's taxonomy places the organism in Eukaryota, Metazoa, Chordata, Aves, Passeriformes, Passerellidae.
UAGCUGGCGGCCGUCAGGUAAUUCACCUGGGGGCGGGAGGGAAACGGGGAUGAGUUAUCGGGGGUUGGUUAUCGGGGGUUGGUUAUCCUCUGUUGGUUAUCCGGGGUUGGUUAUCCUGUGUUGGUUAUCCCGGGUCGGUUAUCCCGGGUCGGUUAUCCUGUGUUGGUUAUCCCGGGUUGGUUAUCCGGGGUUGGUUAUCCCGGGUUGGUUAUCCCGGGUCGGUUAUCCCGAGUUGGUUAUCCUCUGUUGGUUAUCCGGGGUUGGUUAUCCCGGGUUGGUUAUCCGGGGUUGGUUAUCCAGGGUUGGUUAUCCCGGGUUGGUUAUCCCAGGUUGGUUAUCCCAGGUCGGUUAUCCGGGGUUGGUUAUCCUGUGUUGGUUAUCCCAGGUCGGUUAUCCGGGGUUGGUUAUCCUGUGUUGGUUAUCCCAGGUUGGUUAUCCCGGGUCGGUUAUCCCGAGUUGGUUAUCCUCUGUUGGUUAUCCGGGGUUGGUUAUCCUGGGUUGGUUAUCCCGGGUUGGUUAUCCCGGGUUGGUUAUCCUGUGUUGGUUAUCCGGGGUUGGUUAUCCCGGGGUUGGUUCUCUGGGGUCGGUUAUCCAGGGUUGGUUAUCCCGGGUUGGUUAUCCGGGGUUGGUUAUCCCGGGUCUGUUAUCCCUGGUCAGUUAUCCUGGCUCGGUUAUCCCUGGUUGGUUAUCCCGGGUCGGUUAUCCUGUGUUGGUUAUCCGGGGUUGGUUAUCCCGGGUUGGUUAUCCGGGGUUGGUUAUCCCAGGUCUGUUAUCCCGGGUGGGUUAUCCGGGGUUGGUUAUCCUGUGUUGGUUAUCCCAGGUCGGUUAUCCUGUGUUGGUUAUCCUGUGUUGGUUAUCCGGGGUUGGUUAUCCCGGGUUGGUUAUCCUGUGUUGGUUAUCCUGUGUUGGUUAUCCCGGGUUGGUUAUCCGGGGUCGGUUAUCCCGGGUUGGUUAUCCCGGGUUGGUUAUCCUGUGUUGGUUAUCCCGGGUUGGUUAUCCCGGGUUGGUUAUCCUGUGUUGGUUAUCCCGGGUUGGUUAUCCCGGGUUGGUUAUCCGGGGUUGGUUAUCCUGUGUUGGUUAUCCNGGGGGGAGAUGGGGCAGGAAAGGGUUAAUCAAUGUGGUUAAUUCUUAUCAGUGUGGUUAACCCUUAUCAGUGAUUAAUGCAUUAUCAGUAUGAUUAACCCUUAUCAGGGUGGUUAACCCUUAUCAAUGUAAUUAAUGCCUUAUCAUUGUGGUGAAUUCUUAUCAGUGUGGUUAACCCUUAUCAAUGUAAUUAAUGCCUUAUCAAAGUGGUUAAUCCUUAUCAGUGUGGUUAAUCCUUAUCAAUGUGAUUAAUGCUUUAUCAGUGUGGUUAAUGCCUUAUCAGUGUGGUUAAACCCUUAUCAGUGUGGUUAAUCCUUAUCAGUGAUUAAUGCUUUAUCAGUGUGGUGAAUCCUUAUCAGUGUGGUUAACCCUUAUCAGUGAUUAAUGCCUUAUUAGUGUGGUUAAACCCUUAUCAGUGAUUAAUGGUUUAUCAGUGUGGUUAACCCUUAUCAGUGAUUAAUGCCUUAUCAGUGUGGUUAACUCUUAUCAGUGAUUAAUGCCUUAUCAGUGUGGUUAACUCUUAUCAGUGAUUAAUGCUUUAUCAGUGUGGUUAACUCUUAUCAGUGUGGGUAACCCUUAUCAGUGAUUAAUGCUUUAUCAGUGUGGUUAAUGCUUUAUCAGUGAUUAAUGGUUUAUCAGUGUGGUUAAUGCCUUAUCAGUGUGGUUAACCCUUAUCAGUUUGGUUAACCCUUAUCAGUGUGGUCAACCCUUAUCAAUGCCAUUAAAACCUUAUCAGUGUAAUUAACCCUUAUCAGUGUGGUUAACCCUUAUCAGUAAUUAAUGCUUUAUCAGUGUGAUUAAUGCCUUAUCAGUGUGGUUAACCCUUAUCAAUGUGAUUAAUGCCUUAUCAGUGUGGUUAACCCUUAUCAGUGUGGUUAACUCUUAUCAGGGUGGUUAACCCUUAUCAGUGAUUAAUGCCUUAUCAGUGUGGUUAACCCUUAUCAGUGAUUAAUGCUUUAUCAGUGUGGUUAACCCUUAUCAGUGUGAUUAACCCUUAUCAAUGUGAUUAAUGCUUUAUCAGUGCAGUUAAACCCUUAUCAGUGUGGUUAAUCCUUAUCAGUGUGGUUAAUCCUUAUCAGUGAUUAAUGGUUUAUCAGUGUGGUUAAUGCAUUAUCAGUGUGGUUAACCCUUAUCAGUGUGGUUAACCCUUAUCAGUGUGGUUAACCCUUAUCAGUGAUUAAUGCCUUAUCAAUGCGAUUAAUGCAUUAUCAGUGUGGUUAAACCCUUAUCAGUGUGGUUAAACCCUUAUCAGUGUGGCUAACCCUUAUCAGUGUGGUUAAUCCUUAUCAGUGAUUAAUGCCUUAUCAGUGUGGUUAACCCUUAUCAGUGAUUAAUGCAUUAUCAGUGUGAUUAAUGCCUUAUCAGUGUGGUUAACCCUUAUCAGUGUGGUUAAAGCCUUACCAGUGUGGUUAACCCUUAUCAGUGAUUAAUGCUUUAUCAGCAUGGUUAAACCAUUAUCAGCGUGAUUAACCCUUAUCAGUGUGGUUAACCCUUAUCAGUGAUUAAUGCUUUAUCAGUGUGGUUAACCCUUAUCAGUGUGGUUAACUCUUAUCAGUGUGGUUAACCCUUAUCAGUGAUUAAUGCUUUAUCAGUGUGGUUAACCCUUAUCAGUGUGGUUAAACCCUUAUCAGUGUGGUUAACCCUUAUCAGUGAUUAAUGCCUCAUCAAUGUGAUUAAUGCAUUAUCAGUGUGGUUAAUUCUUAUCAGUGUGGUUAAUGCCUUAUCAGUGUGGUUAACCCUUAUCAGUGUGGUUAACCCUUAUCAGUGAUUAAUGCCUUAUCAGUGUGGUUAACCCUUAUCAGUGAUUAAUGCAUUAUCAGUGUGAUUAACCCUUAUCAGUGUGGUUAACCCUUAUCAGUGUGGUUAACCCUUAUCAGUGAUUAAUGCUUUAUCAGUGUGGUUAAACCAUUAUCAGUGUGAUUAAACCCUUAUCAGUGCGAUUAAUGUCUUAUCAGUGUGGUUAUACCAUUAUCAGUGUGGUUAAACCCUUAUCAGUGUAAUUAAAGUCUUAUCAGUACGAUUAAUGCCUUAUCAGUAUGAUUAAAACAUGAUAAAAGCCUUUUCAAUAUGAUUAAAACCUUAUUAAUAAUUAAAGGCUUAUCAAUAGGAUUAAAGCUUUAUUAGUGCGGUUAAACCCUUAUCAAUAUGAUUAAAGUCUUAUCAGUGUAAUUAAAGCCUUAUCAAUAUGAUUAAAACAUGAUUAAACCCUUAAAAAUAUGACUAAAGCCUUAUCAAUGUGAUUAAAGCAUUGUAAACACGAUUAAAGCCUUAUAAAUGUGAUUAAAUAAACUUAUAAAUAUGAGCGUCUGUAAAAGACUG